RNAcentral lists this ribosomal RNA (600 nucleotides) under uncultured bacterium. Its description in RNAcentral is "bacterial SSU rRNA". It matches the Rfam family "Bacterial small subunit ribosomal RNA", at positions 338 to 950 of the family's 1533-position model. The record is from RNAcentral.
CCUACGGGAGGCAGCAGUGAGGAAUUUUCCGCAAUGGGCGAAAGCCUGACGGAGCAAUGCCGCGUGGAGGAGGAAGGCCUGUGGGUCGUAAACUCCUUUUCUCAGAGAAGAAGUUCUGACGGUAUCUGAGGAAUAAGCAUCGGCUAACUCUGUGCCAGCAGCCGCGGUAAUACAGGGGAUGCAAGCGUUAUCCGGAAUUAUUGGGCGUAAAGCGUCCUGAGGUGGCUUACCCAGUCGACUGUGAAAGCUCAAGGCUUAACCUUGAAACGGCAGUCGAAACUUGUAAGCUUGAGUACGGUAGGGGCAGAGGGAAUUCCCGGAGGAGAGGUGAAAUUCGUAGAUAUCGGGAGGAAGGCCAAAGGCGAAAGCACUCUGCUGGGCCGAUUACUGACACUGACAGACGAAAGCUAGGGGAGCGAAAGGGAUUAGAUACCCCUGUAGUCCUAGCCGUAAACGAUGGAUACUAAGUGUUGCGCGACUACAAAACGUGCAGUGCUGCAGCUAACGCGGUAAGUAUCCCGCCUGGGGAGUAUGCCGCGAAGGGUGAAACUCAAAGGAAAUUGACGGGNUUGAGAGUUGCGAGCGACGACGAGGGAGAGG